This 1472-nucleotide ribosomal RNA is filed under the name metagenome. RNAcentral's name for it is "bacterial SSU rRNA". It matches the Rfam family "Bacterial small subunit ribosomal RNA". The record is from RNAcentral.
AGAGUUUGAUCAUGGCUCAGGACGAACGCUGGCGGCGUGCCUAACACAUGCAAGUCGAACGGGGUGAGGCCCUUCGGGACCUUACCUAGUGGCGAACGGGUGAGUAACGCGUGAGGAACCUGCCUUUCAGUGGGGGACAACAGUUGGAAACGACUGCUAAUACCGCAUGAAGCUUUUGGGAGACAUCUCCUGGAAGCCAAAGCUUAAUGUGCUGAAAGAUGGCCUCGCGUCUGAUUAGCCAGUUGGUGGGGUAACGGCCCACCAAGGCGACGAUCAGUAGCCGGUCUGAGAGGAUGAACGGCCACAUUGGGACUGAGAUACGGCCCAGACUCCUACGGGAGGCAGCAGUGGGGAAUAUUGGGCAAUGGGCGAAAGCCUGACCCAGCAACGCCGCGUGAAGGAAGAAGGCCUUCGGGUUGUAAACUUCUUUUACCAGGGACGAAGGACGUGACGGUACCUGGAGAAAAAGCAACGGCUAACUACGUGCCAGCAGCCGCGGUAAUACGUAGGUUGCAAGCGUUGUCCGGAUUUACUGGGUGUAAAGGGCGUGUAGGCGGAGAUGCAAGUUAGGAGUGAAAUCUAUGGGCUCAACCCAUAAACUGCUUCUAAAACUGUAUCCCUUGAGUAUCGGAGAGGCAAGUGGAAUUCCUAGUGUAGCGGUGAAAUGCGUAGAUAUUAGGAGGAACACCAGUGGCGAAGGCGGCUUGCUGGACGACAACUGACGCUGAGGCGCGAAAGCGUGGGGAGCAAACAGGAUUAGAUACCCUGGUAGUCCACGCUGUAAACGAUGAAUACUAGGUGUGGGGGGACUGACCCCCUCCGUGCCGCAGUUAACACAAUAAGUAUUCCACCUGGGGAGUACGACCGCAAGGUUGAAACUCAAAGGAAUUGACGGGGGCCCGCACAAGCAGUGGAUUAUGUGGUUUAAUUCGACGCAACGCGAAGAACCUUACCAGGACUUGACAUCCAACUAACGAAGUAGAGAUACAUCAGGUGCCCUUCGGGGAAAGUUGAGACAGGUGGUGCAUGGUUGUCGUCAGCUCGUGUCGUGAGAUGUUGGGUUAAGUCCCGAACGAGCGCAACCCCUAUUGUUAGUUGCUACGAAAGAGCACUCUAGCGAGACUGCCGUUGACAAAACGGAGGAAGGCGGGGACGACGUCAAAUCAUCAUGCCCCUUAUGUCCUGGGCUACACACGUAAUACAAUGGUGGCCAACAGAGGGAAGCGAAGCCGUGAGGCAGAGCAAAUCCCUAAAAGCCAUCUCAGUUCGGAUUGCAGGCUGCAACUCGCCUGCAUGAAGCUGGAAUUGCUAGUAAUCGCGGAUCAGCAUGCCGCGGUGAAUACGUUCCCGGGCCUUGUACACACCGCCCGUCACACCAUGAGAGUCGGGAACACCCGAAGUCCGUAGUCUAACCGCAAGGGGGGCGCGGCCGAAGGUGGGUCCGGUAAUUGGGGUGAAGUCGUAACAAGGUA